Molecule: long non-coding RNA, 5221 nt
Organism: Astatotilapia calliptera (eastern happy)
Lineage: Eukaryota; Metazoa; Chordata; Actinopteri; Cichliformes; Cichlidae
Source: Ensembl
CCAGUUUAUGUGACUGCACUCGCUGCUGCGGGGUGACGAUAAUCAUGUAGCAGCGGCUGCUUCAGUGAAUAAAGUGAGACGGUGUGUGCUUCGUGUAGUUUUCAUUUCUGAAAUCUAAAAUUUACACUGAACUCCAGUGUUAGCGUGGAGCUAUUCUGGCAUCAAAUCCCUGAACCUUACAAACUGUGAGCGGCGGCAUGCUCAGCUGUGUUAUGGCAAAGGAGGACCAGCUGACACCCAGCAUGGUCCGACCAACCUGAGAACCAAAGUGUGUUAUUGGACUAUGUAAAGCCUAAGUAUACAAAUACAGGCUAUUUACCAUUUAUUUAUCACUGAAUUAAACUAAACUAACAGCAGUCUUUCUUCUGCUUCUCCUGAACAUUAAGUACCUGUCUCAGCUGAUAUUGAUCUUCUGUGAUUCAAAUUCAGAUCUGUGGUUAAUCAAAUUAUCUACAACCAAUUGACACGCCGCAAACUCAGAGCUUUGGAGGCCAGACGCAGCUGACCGCUCUGCACGGCCGUUAAUCCAACCUUGGCUCAUAGAUUUGUUCUGUACCCAGAGUUGGACCGACGGUUGGGUUCUGGUGCACCAAAUCAGUACUGAAUCUGACUGACCAACUCUGUUACUCUUUUCUGCUUAUAAUUGAUUAAUUGUGUUACUUUGUUUACUUUAAGAAAACAUUUCGGGCUUCUUUCAGUUUCCAAUGUGUCGAACACACCGGAAACACAGAUGUUUAGAAGAAAUCAUCAGUCUUGUCUGCAGUUGGUGAGCCUGAUGCAGGCAGUAAUGCACAUCUACGAGCCACGUGCAUGUUUGAUUUGUCAACUCUACAUUUACAAAGUUUCUUCUUUUCUGGAAACCGAGCCUGGUUUUAUGAUUUUAAUAGUCAAUGUUUUAUUGGGGUGUAGUUCAUGUUUUAAGAAAAAGAGGACAUCUUUAAAAGAAGUUCAAACCUGAUGGAAAUACGUCAUCUCUGCUAGUUUCUGUGCAAACACAGCUGAUGGUUUUGACUCUACAGUAGGAUGCUGAAGUCACAUGAUGAAUAAAUGAUGGACGUAGCCAUCGUGAUGUCACCUGUUAGUUUGUAAAGACUGAAGCUGAGCCCACUGACCAUCAUCAUCUUAUCUUAAGAAGAUGUCACAUUAGAGGGAUACUGGAUGCUUAUACGCUAGCGACUUGUCGAUCACACCCAGCUUUACUGUCCUUCUGGGAACUAAUGGACUUUGAUUAGAGUUGAAACACACGAGUGAGACCACAAGCUGUUGAUGAUAGCGUUUACUGAGGUCACACGGCGCUCUCGAUUCGACACAUAGGAUGAUUUUUUUCACUUGUUUUAAACUAUAAUAGUUCCUGCGAAUGAUCUGUGUCUUCAGAAUCAUCAGGAACUUUUCUUGGGAACUUUUUUACUUUGCUGUUGUGUUUUACAUCUGGUGUUACCAUGGAAACCAGAUUUAAUGCAGCCUAAGCCCGAAAAUACAGACAUUUACCUGCAAGGUUAAAAUUCGGACAUAGCUUCGGGUUCUGAAAAGUACUUUUUUCUUAUAUAAUGGCCAACAGGGGGCGACUCCUCUGGAUGGUUUAGUUGUCUUUGACACAUUGACCUUUGGCUCUCCCAAUCUAUAACCUCAUUAAAGACUUUCCUGGUGGCUCUAUGGUCGCAAUCAAUACCUUAUAGUGUUCCUUUUUAAAUAACGAUCUCUGUUAGAGUCAAAAAUGACAAUGACUCGGGGUACGAGCAUGUGACUUAAAACUCCUGGCAGUAUCAAGUUUCUCGUCUGGUUUCAACACCAAGACGCUUCUGGACGAUUCAGUAAGGGAUGGCUCAUCACAUUAGCUACAUCCAUCAUCUUUACUCAGUAUAUGAAUGUAAUGCACAGUAUAAAAGUUGGGCUUUAAUGCACAAGUUCAAAAUCAACACAUAAACAGGUCGACGCGCUGCAGGUGCAUGUCAGCAAAUUCAUAUUUUCCACACACUCAAAACGUGGUUAGAUGGAUGCAGCAGGGAGACAGAGUUUGGUUCUGUUGAAGGAUCACCGCCUCCAUCUGCUCUCUCUGAUACCUGUUUAAAUAUUUUAUAAUACAGCCUAAUGAAACAUGAAGAGCCCGGCUUUUCCAAACAAUUAAGCAUAAUGAGUGUCUCUCAGAGAUCGUGGCGCUAAAACUAAAAGGCAACAACUGGGAAAUCAAACAUGUCAAAGACAGAACUGAAACUCUACACUGAUGGAAGCACAGUCCGGAUCCAGCAUCCGGGCCCGCUCUUUACCGCCAGCCGACUGAGCCUAGUUUCGAAUUGACGGACGUCGGCGGUAACCAAUCAGCGCCUGCCGUGCGCCAAAGCCGUGUUUAUUCCACUUAGCCGACCAAUCCGAGCCGUCCUCUGCGGCCAAGUGCGUCAUCAGAGUAGAAUGUGAAUGUGGGCUGCCUGUUACCGGAGCACACUUUGCUCCCAUCCCCCAUCAACACUGAGCAAUGGCGGCUACCCUUUUUUGCGUGCCGCUUUGUCCUUCUCAGUUCAGCUUGUAAAAGCCAUGUGUACAAAAGUCGGUAAGGAAAAUACGUGUUUGCCCUUGUGUUUCAUAAGAAUGCGCGUCAGUUCAUGAGCACAUUAUAAUUAUUUUCCGCACUUCUCUCAUCGCAUGUCUUUUAUGUCGCACUGCUUUUUUUCCCUCCUCCACGGCGGGGCAUUUCUCUGUGGGUCCUAACAAUGGAGGCGGAGGAAAUGAGCCACCAGCACUGUUCACUGCACCCGCUCACUGAGCCCGAACAGCCCGAAUCACGGCGUCAGAGCCGGCUGUGUGUGUGUUGUUCGACGGGCACUGUGUUUAUUUGUGUCUCGACCUUGGCGCACGAAUUUAUGGGCUGUUAUGUAAAAAAAAAAAAAAAGCCCUCAAGAGUGUCAAGUGCGCACAUACAGGGAUGAGUUUCAAACAUGGACGUCGGGAAGGGGCGGGGCGACGAAGAGCUGCGAUGUGACAUGGCGGCGCCGCUCCACAUUUACACUCUGAGCGCCUUGUAUCUGACUGAUGUUGUUCACAUGGAGCUUGAGAUGUGACACUAACUUUUGGGGAGAAAAGCCCGAUUUAAUCCGUAAUAACAUCCGUGUCGUCCACGUUUCCCUCCCAAACACUUCGCCUCUAUUCCCCCGUCGCGGCGGUGGGCGGGAGAAACCGUCUGAAGUCGCCGCUUGACUCGUCCAGACGCACAUCAAUCAAUCAAAGUGACACUACGUCAACCGAAGCGCUCUCGAUUCGACAUAUUUACUGCGUAACUCGACGGAAACUCGAUUUUCUUGCGCUCACGGUGCUGUGGAGCUGCCACGGUUCCGGCUCCGGUCCGUUUUGUGGGCUUUUAUCGACUCUGAUUAUUGUUUUAGGGGAGAAAGGGACGGUUGCAGCGAUAGAAUAGGAGGGGGCGUGGCCUUUGGGUUAAGAAAUCCUAUCCAUUGUUACUCUACGCGCUAGGAGAACACCUCUGCCGAGCCUCUGGCCAAUCAGAGACCACCGACCUCAUGAAGACCCCGCCCACAAGCCUAUAUUAAAGGCUCGGCCGUCAGAAGCAUUGGCCACUGGCACAAUAUAAUACUGAUUGAUCCGCUAACCGAGACGAGGGGAUUUACUUUAUUCAACCUUUCAUUUCAGCCGUCCUUUAUUUUAUUCUACUAAACAAUGGCAGACACACAGGUCGACUCCGGCUCGGAUAUCUCUGCCAAGGACCUGAAAGAGAAGAAGCUGGUGGAGGAGAAGGAGAACGGCAAAGACGCCGCCACCAAUGGGAAGGUGAGCGCCAUCGCCGCCGCCGCAGCAGCUCUCUGCACAGAGUCGGACAUUUUUAACCAUUUUUGUAUUUUCCAGGAGAAUGAAGAGAACGGUGAGCCCGAGGUAGAUGACGAGGAGGACGAGGAGGUGGACGAGGAAGAAGAGGAAGAUGAUGGAGAAGGUGAUGAGGAAGAUGAGGAGGAGGACGACGACGAGAUUGAGGGUGGCACAAAACGGGCAGCUGAGGAUGACGAGGACGACGACGAGGACGACGUCGAAACCAAGAAGCAGAAAACCGACGAUGACGAUUGAUGCGUUUCCCCCGCGCCAUCCUGCUGAACCACUUCCUGAUUCUUCACCUCUGACCAUUUUUCUAUGUCGCAGGUGGAGGGGCUGGAGGACUGAUUUAAAGGAAAAAAUAAUAAUAAUAAAAAAAAUCCAACAUGGUCAUUAGCAAGUAGAGUUCAACAAACACCCGCCACGCCCACACCCACCCGAGCUCCCCUCGACGCUGCGAGACAAAUUUUCUAGAGGAACCCGCCACCGCAUCGACGACGCAGAAAUCCGGCUUCUCUUCAGCAACAACACAAAAGGAGAAUUUGUUUGUAUUUUUAUUUACAUUUUAUAUUUUUGUACAUAUUGUUAGGAGAGGGGAGGGGGGCAGUUUCUCUCUCGGCAGCGAUCCCGUCAGACCAAAUCGGUGCUUCUCUAACGAAAGAUUUUACUUGGUUGACCAUGUUACGAUAUCUCAACAGAUCUUAGAAAAACGUGUAAAAAAAUAAAAUGAAUAAAAACAUGAAAGACAACCUCUUAAGCCGUUGAACUCAGAGCAUUCCAGUAAAUUUAAUGUAUGUACUUUAGCUGUACCAUAACUAGUUUGUUUGUAUGGGAGGGUAAGGCCAAAGAAAAGAGCCUCUUUUCUUUUUCCUUUCUUUUGGUUUUUUUUCUUUUGGUUUUGUUUUUGUCAGCGACUUUUUGUUUUAUGACGGCCUGUUUUGAUGUAUGUGCAAAGUUUGUUGUUUGACAAUAAACCGGACUUUUAUUUUGUGAGUUGUACUUUGUAUCUCUGCCCCUUUUUAUUUGUGCUUUGCUCUCCUGUGAGGAAGAGGAAGCAGUGCAGGUAAACCUGAGGUCUGCUUUUACUUUAGGGUCACAACAGCGAGGAGGUGGGUCCAGCACAUCUUAUUGGACAUUUUACACUCAUUACAUCCAUAUAAUUCAUAUUACAUAAAAGUUAAGGUUUGGUACUAAAAUAAACUGGCGGUUCCAAAAGACUAAAUGUGGUUUAUUUCUUUUGGAUUUUUCUCUUCUUUUUGUCUAUAUUGCAAACAUGCAAACAGAAGCAGUUCUGAUAGUUGAAAGUUGUAAGAAUAACAUAAUGUGUCACAUAAAUAAGGGUUUCUGCAUGAAUUUAAAGUCUUAACAUUAAAAUAAAGCAUAUUAAGGUCUGAGAAGCUGAUCUGUA